RNAcentral lists this ribosomal RNA (1230 nucleotides) under metagenome. RNAcentral's name for it is "bacterial SSU rRNA". It matches the Rfam family "Bacterial small subunit ribosomal RNA", at positions 8 to 1274 of the family's 1533-position model. The record is from RNAcentral.
AGAGUUUGAUCCCGGCUCAGAAUCAACGCUGGCGGCGCGCCUAACACAUGCAAGUCGAACGAGAAAGUGGAGCAAUCCAUGAGUACAGUGGCGUACGGGUGAGUAACACGUGGAUGAUCUACCUCUUUGUGGGGAAUAACCGAGGGAAACCUUGGCUAAUACCGCAUAAUCCCGAGAGGGGAAACGCGAAAGCGGCAGAGAGAGGAGUCCGCGGCCGAUUAGCUAGUUGGUAGGGUAAAAGCCUACCAAGGCAAAGAUCGGUAGCCGGCCUGAGAGGGCACACGGCACACUGGCACUGAAACACGGGCCAGACUCCUACGGGAGGCAGCAGUGGGGGAUCUUGCACGAUGGGGAAACCCUGAUGCAGCGACGCCGCGUGAGCGAUGAAGGCCUUCGGGUUGUAAAGCUCUUUCGGCAGGGAAGAUUAUGACGGUACCUGCAGAAGCAGCUGCGGCUAACUACGUGCCAGCAGCCGCGGUAAUACGUAGGCAGCAAGCGUUGUUCGGAGUUACUGGGCGUAAAGGGUGUGUAGGCGGUGAUUUAAGUUUGGUGUGAAAUCUCCCGGCUCAACUGGGAGGGUGCGCCGAAUACUGAAUGACUUGGAGUGCGGGAGAGGAAAGUGGAAUUCCUGGUGUAGCGGUGAAAUGCGUAGAUAUCAGGAGGAACACCGGUGGUGUAGACGGCUUUCUGGACCGUAACUGACGCUGAGACACGAAAGCGUGGGUAGCAAACAGGAUUAGAUACCCUGGUAGUCCACGCCCUAAACGAUGCAUAUUUGGUGUGGGCAGUUCAUUCUGUCCGUGCCGGAGCUAACGCGUUAAAUAUGCCGCCUGGGGAGUACAGUCGCAAGGCUGAAACUCAAAGGAAUUGACGGGGGCCCGCACAAGCGGUGGAGCAUGUGGUUCAAUUCGACACACGCGAAGAACCUUACCUGGGCUCGAACGGCUGUCAACGGCAGUGGAAACAUUGCUACCCCGCAAGGGGGUCCAGUCGAGGUGCUGCAUGGCUGUCGUCAGCUCGUGUCGUGAGAUGUUGAGUUAAGUCCCGCAACGAGCGCAACCCCUGUCCUGUUUUGCCAUCAUUCAGUUGGGAACUCGCAGGAGACCGCCAGCGAUAAGUUGGAGGAAGGUGGGGAUGACGUCAAGUCCUCAUGGCCUUUAUGUCCAGGGCUACACACGUGCUACAAUGGCCGGUACAAUACGUCCCAAACCCGCGAGGGGGAGGCAAUCG